CAAAUUUAAAAUCUGGUGGUCUUUGGCUGUCCGAGUUGUAAACUAGAGAAGUGUUGCCCGCGCUGGACCGUGUACAAGUCUCCUGGAAUGGAGCGUCAUAGAGGGUGAGAAUCCCGUCUCUGACACGGACUACCAGGGCUUUGUGGUACGCUCUCAAAGAGUCGAGUUGUUUGGGAAUGCAGCUCAAAAUGGGUGGUAAAUUCCAUCUAAAGCUAAAUAUUGGCGAGAGACCGAUAGCGAACAAGUACCGUGAGGGAAAGAUGAAAAGAACUUUGGAAAGAGAGUUAAACAGUACGUGAAAUUGCUGAAAGGGAAACGCUUGAAGUCAGUCGCGUUGGCCGGGAAUCAGCCUCGCUCUUUUGCGUGGUGUACUUUCUGGUUGAUGGGUCAGCAUCAAUUUUGACUGCUGGAAAAAGGCAUGAGGAAUGUGGCAGCUCCUGCUGUGUUAUAGCUUCUUGUCACAUACAGCGGUUGGGAUUGAGGAACUCAGCACGCCGCAAGGCCGGGUUUCGACCACGUUCGUGCUUAGGAUGCUGGCAUAAUGGCUUUAAGCGACCCGUCUUGAAACACGGACCAAGGAGUCUAACAUGCCUGCAAGUGUUUGGGUGGAAAACCCGAGCGCGUAAUGAAAGUGAAAGUUGAGAUCCCUGUCGUGGGGAGCAUCGACGCCCAGACCAGAACUUUUGGGACGGAUCUGCGGUAGAGCAUGUAUGUUGGGACCCGAAAGAUGGUGAACUAUGCCUGAAUAGGGUGAAGCCAGAGGAAACUCUGGUGGAGGCUCGUAGCGAUUCUGACGUGCAAAUCGAUCGUCAAAUUUGGGUAUAGGGGCGAAGACU
Molecule: ribosomal RNA, 836 nt
Filed under: Leucoagaricus sp.
Lineage: Eukaryota; Fungi; Basidiomycota; Agaricomycetes; Agaricales; Agaricaceae
Description: partial large subunit ribosomal RNA
Rfam family: Eukaryotic large subunit ribosomal RNA
Source: RNAcentral